RNAcentral lists this ribosomal RNA (408 nucleotides) under uncultured bacterium. Its description in RNAcentral is "partial 16S ribosomal RNA". It matches the Rfam family "Bacterial small subunit ribosomal RNA", at positions 28 to 526 of the family's 1533-position model. The record is from RNAcentral.
GACGAACGCUGGCGGCGUGCUUAACACAUGCAAGUCGAACGGAGUGGCGAACGGGUGAGUAACACGUGGGUGAUCUGCCUUGCACUUCGGGAUAAGCUUGGGAACCUGGGUCUAAUACCGGAUAGUGCAAGAUGAGCUCGCGGCCUAUCAGCUUGUUGGUGGGGUAAUGGCCUACCAAGGCGUCGACGGGUAGCCGGCCUGAGAGGGUGUACGGCCACAUUGGGACUGCGGGACGGACCAGACUGCAACGGGGGGCAGCAGUGGGGAAUAUUGCACAAUGGGGGGACGCCUGAGGCAGCGACCCCGGGUGGGGGAUGAAGGCCUUCGGGUUGUAAACUCCUUUCGACAGGGACGCGGUACCUGUAUAAGAAGCACCGGCUAACUACGUGCCAGCAGCCGCGGUAAUAC